AGUAGUUUAACUCCGUGGCUCAGAACGAACGCUGGCGGCAUGCCUAACACAUGCAAGUCGAACGAAGUCUUCGGACUUAGUGGCGCACGGGUGCGUAACGCGUGGGAAUCUGCCCUUGGGUGCGGAAUAACUUCUCGAAAGGGAUGCUAAUACCGCAUAAUGUCGUAAGACCAAAGAUUUAUCGCCCAAGGAUGAGCCCGCGUAAGAUUAGCUAGUUGGUGGGGUAAAAGCCUACCAAGGCGACGAUCUUUAGCUGGUCUGAGAGGAUGAUCAGCCACACUGGGACUGAGACACGGCCCAGACUCCUACGGGAGGCAGCAGUGGGGAAUAUUGGACAAUGGGCGAAAGCCUGAUCCAGCAAUGCCGCGUGAGUGAUGAAGGCCCUAGGGUUGUAAAGCUCUUUUACCAGGGAUGAUAAUGACAGUACCUGGAGAAUAAGCUCCGGCUAACUCCGUG
Molecule: ribosomal RNA, 456 nt
Filed under: uncultured bacterium
Lineage: Bacteria
Description: bacterial SSU rRNA
Rfam family: Bacterial small subunit ribosomal RNA
Source: RNAcentral